UACGUAGGUGGCAAGCGUUGUCCGGAAUUAUUGGGCGUAAAGCGCGCGCAGGCGGUCCUUUAAGUCUGAUGUGAAAGCCCACGGCUCAACCGUGGAGGGUCAUUGGAAACUGGGGAACUUGAGUACAGAAGAGGAAAGCGGAAUUCCACGUGUAGCGGUGAAAUGCGUAGAGAUGUGGAGGAACACCAGUGGCGAAGGCGGCUUUCUGGUCUGUAACUGACGCUGAGGCGCGAAAGCGUGGGGAGCAAACAGG
RNAcentral lists this ribosomal RNA (253 nucleotides) under uncultured bacterium. Its description in RNAcentral is "partial 16S ribosomal RNA". It matches the Rfam family "Bacterial small subunit ribosomal RNA", at positions 524 to 776 of the family's 1533-position model. The record is from RNAcentral.